CCUCCGGGAUUCCUCAGCCCCCUGUACUCCAAGGGGUUCUCGGCCCCGCCAGAGGGGGGCGCUGGAGGGAGCCUUGUCCCUUGCUCCCUGAGAAGCCUGCAACCUGGAGCUGUCAACACCAGUCCAGGGAGAUGGGAUGACGUAGGAGGGACAGACAAGGGAGCCGGGCCCAGAAAAACUCCCGAGAGGAGCAUCCAACUGCAGCAGGAGAGACUGGAGGGAGACUGCAGUAGUGAUGGAGCGUCUCAUAAUCUGCAGACAAUGGAGGACGUCGCUGUGCUCCCCACACCCCCAAGGCCUCCAGUGCCUGUUCUCCAGCUGGGGAGCGUGGGCAGCUGCCUGCUCCAAGGUCAGACUCAACUCCCUGCCUGUCCACCAACCCAGAGGAGAGGCUGCAGAUCCACGGACCGUGGCAGGGGCCCAGGAUGCAGAUGGAGCCCAGGCAGGGGGGCUCAGGGACGUCUGGCAGGCUUGGCUGUCUGCAUUUGACUGUGUCGCCAUCAGACUGGGCGCUUCCUGAGUUCAGAGUUGUGCCUCCAUCAUCAGACCAUGGGAACUGCCUCUCUCAUCAGGCCAGGAUCUCCCCAAAGAUGGAACCUAAGUAUCUCCCAGAUUGAGCUCAAUAAGCCCCACGGAUAAUGCCCCAAGAGAAGACAGAGAGCUGGGGAGUACAGUCCCUGUAUCAAGCCCAGUCCCUCUCCUGGUGACCUGUGCAGGUGUCCAACAGAAUGAGCUGUGGGUUGGGUGUCUGGACACCUGAGUUCCAAUCUUGACUCAGUGUGACUCAGGAAAACGUUUGCUUUCUGGGGUUCAGGUACCCAAUCUCUAAUGUGAGUCGGCCCCAGGGCAACUCAUGGCCCUGCCCUCGGCCGUCACAUCUCCAGGGACGUCCAUCUCCAGGGUCCUGUGUGGCCCCUGUCAUUUCCCCUGACUCUGGCCCACCCGCCCAUCCCCACUUUAAGCUUGUUAAUUGACCGGCUGCCAGCUGCAUCCUCCUCCCUCAGCCACGUGGAGGGAAUGAGGAGGGUCAGUGGGCCACAUGUCCUGGGUUAUUACAUUGAAUAAGCUGACAAAAGCCAUCAGAAGAUAUAUUGUUUAACAGGAGAUUAAAAACCAAUGAGAGCGGCUGGGGUUCUGACCCCGAGUCUCUGCGUUUUUAAUUUAAUUUCUUUUGCUGCUCAAAUCACCACAUUCUAAAAUGAUAAAAGUAGCUGUGUUUGCUCAAGGGUUUUAUCAUUAAUUGAUUUGGCUGAAGUUUUCCCAUAAGACACAUCUACUGGAACACACUUCUCAUUUUAAGCUGCUAGAUUCAGUGAGAAGGGAAAGGUCAGGGGCCGGGGUCCAGGGUCACCUUGGCAAGCAUCUCCCUAUAGGUCAGUAGGCCCAGGUCCUAUGCAGAACCCCUGGCCCUCGGGGCAGCCUUCUCCCUACCCUUCAAGCUAGAGGCCAGAGUCUGCCUGGUCUCCCUCCACCUUAGGUGGGUCAGAGCCUGGGCAAUCCCGGGCUCCAGGGGCAGGUUUCUGGUCAGGCCUCAUCUGCUAAAUCCUUGCUAUUCAGUGGAGAUCAGACCCACUUGGCCCCCCACUUCCCUAACAGACCUUCCCCUCUGUCUGUCCCUCCCUUCCCCAUCUCCACCGGGGCCCCUUCCUGGGCCGGGGUCUCCAUGCACUCCAGGACAGGCCUCAGCAGCUGAUGGCAGCUGGUCCUGGCUCUUGGUUGCGGGAUCAGAAAACCUUCAUGGAAAAGAGAUGUUUGUGCCUCACCUUGAAAGAUAAGGAAGAUUAAACAAUGACAAUGUGUCAAAUUUCUGAUGACAUAUAGUAACAGAUGUGCCUAUCGUAUUAACAGAACACUUGAAAAUUGCAGACAGGUCUUACACGUGAGCAUGAACCCUCCUGGGUGCACAUGCGGGGCCACUGAUUGGAGCCUGUCCCCCAGGGCAGGAGGUGGGGGUCCCAGUAGUGUCCAGAGGGCUGAAGCAUGUUAGACAUGGCUGGCGGACCCUACUCCACCCUUACUCAGCAGGCGGCUCUCUUGGUCUCAGCCUCGUUGUCUCGGUGAGGCUGGA
Capra hircus (goat) is the source of this 2068-nucleotide long non-coding RNA. RefSeq lists it as uncharacterized. The record is from RefSeq and is a predicted model, not a curated record. Lineage: Eukaryota; Metazoa; Chordata; Mammalia; Artiodactyla; Bovidae. The transcript is spliced from 3 exons.